GGGUGUAAAGGGCGUGUAGGCGGAGAUGCAAGUUGGGAGUGAAAUCCCGGGGCUCAACCCCGGAACUGCUUUCAAAACUGUAUCCCUUGAGUGUCGGAGAGGCAAGCGGAAUUCCUAGUGUAGCGGUGAAAUGCGUAGAUAUUAGGAGGAACACCAGUGGCGAAGGCGGCUUGCCGGACGAUAACUGACGCUGAGGCGCGAAAGCGUGGGGAGCAAACAGGAUUAGAUACCCUGGUAGUCCACGCUGUAAACGAUGAAUACUAGGUGUGGGAGGACUGACCCCUUCCGUGCCGCAGUUAACACAAUAAGUAUUCCACCUGGGGAGUACGACCGCAAGGUUGAAACUCAAAGGAAUUGACGGGGGCCCGCACAAGCAGUGGAUUAUGUGGUUUAAUUCGACGCAACGCGAAGAACCUUACCAGGGUUUGACAUCCAACUAACGAAGUAGAGAUACAUUAGGUGCCCUUCGGGGAAAGUUGAGACAGGUGGUGCAUGGUUGUCGUCAGCUCGUGUCGUGAGAUGUUGGGUUAAGUCCCGCAACGAGCGCAACCCCUAUUGUUAGUUGCUACGCAAGAGCACUCUAGCGAGACUGCCGUUGACAAAACGGAGGAAGGCGGGGACGACGUCAAAUCAUCAUGCCCCUUAUAUCCUGGGCUACACACGUAAUACAAUGGUGGUUAACAGAGGGAGGCAAUGCCGCGAGGUUGAGCAAAUCCCUAAAAGCCAUCUCAGUUCGGAUUGCAGGCUGCAACUCGCCUGCAUGAAGCUGGAAUUGCUAGUAAUCG
RNAcentral lists this ribosomal RNA (785 nucleotides) under uncultured Bacillota bacterium. RNAcentral's name for it is "bacterial SSU rRNA". It matches the Rfam family "Bacterial small subunit ribosomal RNA", at positions 556 to 1344 of the family's 1533-position model. The record is from RNAcentral. Lineage: Bacteria; Bacillati; Bacillota.